UGCCUAACACAUGCAAGUCGAACGGAUUAACAGGUGUAGCAAUACAUCUGUUGGUUAGUGGCAAACGGGUGAGUAAUGCAUAGGUAACCUGCCCUUCAGUCUGGGAUAACCUCGGGAAACCGGGGCUAAUACCGGAUAUUAUCCUCUUCUCACAUGAAGAGAGGAUGAAAGGUUUUUCGCUGAAGGAGGGGCUUAUGUCUGAUUAGCUAGUUGGUAGGGUAAUGGCCUACCAAGGCGACGAUCAGUAGCCGGCCUGAGAGGGUGUACGGCCACACUGGGACUGCGACACGGCCCAGACUCCUACGGGAGGCAGCAGUGGGGAAUAUUGCGCAAUGGAGGAAACUCUGACGCAGCGACGCCGCGUGAGCUCAAAGUCUUUCGGGAUGUAAAGCUC
This 394-nucleotide ribosomal RNA is filed under the name uncultured organism. Its description in RNAcentral is "bacterial SSU rRNA". It matches the Rfam family "Bacterial small subunit ribosomal RNA", at positions 45 to 433 of the family's 1533-position model. The record is from RNAcentral.